Long non-coding RNA from Arabidopsis thaliana (thale cress), 331 nucleotides. RefSeq annotates it as other RNA. The record is from RefSeq. Lineage: Eukaryota; Viridiplantae; Streptophyta; Magnoliopsida; Brassicales; Brassicaceae. The transcript has 2 exons.
UAGGCUUCGAACUUUUUUCAGUACACAAUAAAAUUAUUUAACGUACGAGUGUGUGCAGGAGAUGGCGCGUGGAUGAGACGAGAGAGGACGCGAAGAGUGUCGCAGGCGGAGAAAGCACAGUCCCGCGAUUCGUGCGUUUCGCUUUCCCUCACGACUAGUGACGCACCGACUCACUGCUCAUGACACGUGCUCACCUCAGUGAUUAGGUGGUCUAUUAUUCAAGUUGAUAAAAACUUUAUCUCUAUAUUGUCUAAUGUCUAUAGCAAUAUUCUCCUUUUUUAAAAGAGUUGGACUGUGUAACUUUUUAUGAUACUCCAUCAGUAUAGUAUUU